GGUGUUCGGGACAGCAGGCGGCUGUUUCAGGACAGAUUAACAGCAGAAGACGGAGGCGUUAUGGUGUUUUCGGUAGGCCGUUGUUGUGGUAGACGUACCAGUUAAGACGACAGGGGUGACCGGUGAUAAACACUUGCUUUCUGGGGCUGUUAGUGGUGAUUAAAGCAGGAGAAAAAAGGGUUGUUCGGGACUGUUAUGCAGCAGAAGAUGAAGUCCAGAAGGGUGUUCGUGUCAGUCGUUGUCGCGGGUGAUGUACCGGUUAGGAUGACGGGGUGACGGGUGAACACCUGUGUUUUUCGUGGCUGUUAGUCGUGAUCGAACAAGCUAUAAAAAAGGGUUGUGAUGUUAUUUUUAUCACAGAUUUUGCAAGUACCUUGAUUGGUUGUUCGUGAUAAGAGGAGACCGGCGUGUUGCGUGAUAAAUGGGCGUAAAAGAUCCGUCAAAGCAGGUGGCUUUGGAUUUGGUUCGUUUGGCAAGGUGAGAAAACGUUAAAAACGGGUGGUUUAUUUUCUUGGUCGGUGGAGAGGCCUCUUGAAUAAGGUUGAUCGGAAAAAGGUAUGGUUAGAGAAAAAAAUAACACGGGGUGACAUUAUGGCGUUGGAGUUCAAUCAGGUGGCUUUGGAUGUGGCCGGGGUAGGUCGUUGAUCCGUGAUAAGUCAAGAUGUGAAUGAACGGUGUUCCAACGUUAUGCCAUGUUACAUGUCACGGGCGUGGUGUUUUUAUUCGGGUUGAUCCGAGACAUUGGACGUGAUCGAGGUGAAGAUCGGGUGUCCGUUAGAUGUCAUAGUGGUUUGAAACCGAGGUGAUUCGGUGCUACAGUGAACGGUUCAAACAAACACCGAUUAAGGGGGUGAAUGUUGGGUUAAUCGGGUUUGGUUCGCGGGUCACAUGGGUCGGCACGUUAUCGAGUCACGGUUAAAAUGGUUAAUUGAUCACGGUUCAGCAGAUUAAUAUAUGGGUCACAAGUCAUUAGUGGUUUGCAAGUUAACAUACUUGGUCAGAGUUGACCGAACUUGUUGCUGAUAAAAAGGAAAACGUGGAUGGACUGAGUUUUAAUCAUUCAUGUGUUGGAUCCUGUAA
Molecule: long non-coding RNA, 1080 nt
Filed under: Helianthus annuus (common sunflower)
Lineage: Eukaryota; Viridiplantae; Streptophyta; Magnoliopsida; Asterales; Asteraceae
Description: hypothetical non coding rna
Source: RNAcentral